GCGGGGGUAGCAAAGUCUGGUCAAAUGCGCAGGACUUAAGAUCCUGUCCUUAAGUAGGUUCGUGGGUUCGAAGCCCUCCCCCCGCA
Molecule: transfer RNA, 86 nt
Filed under: Candidatus Woesearchaeota archaeon
Lineage: Archaea; Nanobdellati; Candidatus Woesearchaeota
Description: tRNA-Leu
Rfam family: tRNA
About the family: Transfer RNA (tRNA) molecules are approximately 80 nucleotides in length. Their secondary structure includes four short double-helical elements and three loops (D, anti-codon, and T loops).
Source: RNAcentral